RNAcentral lists this ribosomal RNA (484 nucleotides) under uncultured bacterium. RNAcentral describes it as "partial 16S ribosomal RNA". It matches the Rfam family "Bacterial small subunit ribosomal RNA", at positions 30 to 507 of the family's 1533-position model. The record is from RNAcentral.
AUUGAACGCUGGCGGCAGGCCUAACACAUGCAAGUCGAACGGAUGAAUGGUACUUGCUCCUGCUUUCAGCUGCCGAGUGGUGAGUGAUUGCUAGAAAUAUGCCUAUUUAUUUUGGCUAACGUCCGGACACAGGCGCUCAUACCGCAUACUUCCUGAGGAACAAAGUGUGAAAUCUUCGGACCUCACGCUAUCGCAUGAGCCUAGGUCGUAUUAGCUAGUUGGGGGGGUAAAGGCCUACCAAGGCGACGAUCCGUAACUGGUCUGAGAGGAUGAUCAGUCACACUGGAACUGAGACACGGUCCAGACUCCUACGGGAGGCAGCAGUGGGGAAUAUUGGACAAUGGGCGAAAGCCUGAUCCAGCCAUGCCGCGUGUGUGAAGAAGGUCUUCGGAUUGUAAAGCCCUUUAAGUGGGGAGGAAGGGCAGUAAGUUAAUACCUUGCUGUUCUGACGGUACCAAAAGAAUAAGCACCGGCUAACUUCGUG